Long non-coding RNA from Cydia amplana, 129 nucleotides. RefSeq lists it as uncharacterized. NCBI's taxonomy places the organism in Eukaryota, Metazoa, Arthropoda, Insecta, Lepidoptera, Tortricidae. The record is from RefSeq and is a predicted model, not a curated record. The transcript has 2 exons.
CCUCUGGGUUGGAAGGUCAGAUGGCAGUCGCUUUCAAAAACUAGUGCCUACGUCAAUUCUUGGGAUUAGUUGUCAAGCGGACCCCAGGCUCCCAUGAGCCGUGGCAAAAUGCCGGGACAACGCGAGGAA